RNA transcript from Biomphalaria glabrata, 1382 nucleotides. RefSeq lists it as uncharacterized. The transcript is spliced from 7 exons. The record is from RefSeq and is a predicted model, not a curated record. Lineage: Eukaryota; Metazoa; Mollusca; Gastropoda; Planorbidae.
GUGUGGCGCACACAGAGUCACGUUUUGAACACUCAACAUUGUAGGCUACGUUAACAAAUUUUUAAAGUAAAAACUUUUAGAUCGAAAUGUAUCAUAAAACACAAAUGUGAUUCUGUAAUAGCGUCGACCAACCAUGGACCAACUAACUAAAAACAUUAACUGACAUUGACGUAGCCUACAUUGGCUAAAGUUACACAAAAAAAGUUUCUGAGAUCUAAACGGGACGGAAGGACGGACGGACAGACAAGGCCACACAAAACUAAUAGCGUCUUUUCCCCUUUGGGGGAAGCUAAAAACAGUACAUGAUUAGAGCAUGUAUAUGUACAAUAACGCACAAGAUAUAAUGUUCAUACCCCAGUUUCUCUUAACAUUACAACAUAAUCAGUAGCCUACAUCUCUUGUUUAUCUGAAGAGCUAUGGCCAGUCUAGGCAAGGAUUGCAAACCUGUCACCAAGCCACCAACUAAAAACCACGAGCUGUCAGUAAAGUGACGUCUGUAGGAAUCCCACAGCCUGACUUCAUUGCUGUACCGUACAUAGAAGACGUCUGUGUAACAAAUGGCACCUCUUUGAUUCUGGACGAAGGGCUUCUAUGUAAUGAAAACUACAAAACUGCUUCUUGGGCUACAGAGAACAAACAUGAAUUGCAAGUUCUCCACCGUCAUCAAUGGGGUGUUGGCAGAUCAAGCAGCACAAAAACUCUGGUCCCCAAUAAUUACAGAAUAGUAUCUGGUCCUGAUUUUGACUAUAUCAAAAGUGUUUCACCACAAGAAGACAAAUUGUCAACACCAUUCAACAAUAAAUUGUUGUUGCAGUUGUAUUGAACAUCAUGCCAUUGUGAGAAACAAUACUAUCACAGUGUGUAUCUGUUUCCAUGAUAUCAUUCAUUGCACUAAUUAGGGCAAAACAGUAAAGAUUAGAAUUGAAUUCAAACCAUGCCAUUCUUCCAGAUUGUUAUGGAACAAGAGACUCCAUCAAAUGUAGUUGAAGCCAGCCAGUUUCUGCAUGAAAUAAGACAUCAUCUAUCACAUAAACGGAACAUUUCAAAUAUUGUUGCAUAACAUCAUCUUUAAAACAGAUUAAAGAUUGUUUCAUCAUUAAAGAUUGUUUAAUCAUUAAAGAUUGUUUCAUCACCUGGAAAUAUAUGACAGUGUUACAUCUCCUUUGAAAUAUAUUAUGGCGUCAAAUCACCUUUGAAACAUGUUAUAGAGUGUUACAUCUCCUUUGAAAUAUAUUAUGGCGUCAAAUCACCUUUGAAACAUGUUAUAGAGUGUUACAUCUCCUUUUAAACAUUAUAGGUUUACAUUAUAUUUGAAAUACUGGUAUAUUAUAAUUAUAAAAGAUUACAUCUCCUUUGAAGGUAUUAAAGAAUGUUACAUAUUA